GACGAACGCUGGCGGCGUGCUUAACACAUGCAAGUCGAACGGAAGGGCCCUGCUUUUGUGGGGUGCUCGAGUGGCGAACGGGUGAGUAACACGUGAGUAACCUGCCCUUGACUUUGGGAUAACUUCAGGAAACUGGGGCUAAUACCGGAUAGGAGCUCCUGCUGCAUGGUGUGGGUUGGAAAGUUUCGGCGGUUGGGGAUGGACUCGCGGCUUAUCAGCUUGUUGGUGGGGUAGUGGCUUACCAAGGCUUUGACGGGUAGCCGGCCUGAGAGGGUGACCGGCCACAUUGGGACUGAGAUACGGCCCAGACUCCUAUGGGAGGCAGCAGUGGGGAAUAUUGCACAAUGGGCGGAAGCCUGAUGCAGCAACGCCGCGUGCGGGAUGACGGCCUUCGGGUUGUAAACCGCUUUCGCCUGUGACGAAGCGUGAGUGACGGUAAUGGGUAAAGAAGCACCGGCUAACUACGUG
Molecule: ribosomal RNA, 468 nt
Filed under: uncultured bacterium
Lineage: Bacteria
Description: partial 16S ribosomal RNA
Rfam family: Bacterial small subunit ribosomal RNA
Source: RNAcentral